Non-coding RNA from Dipodomys ordii (Ord's kangaroo rat), 72 nucleotides. The record is from Rfam. NCBI's taxonomy places the organism in Eukaryota, Metazoa, Chordata, Mammalia, Rodentia, Heteromyidae.
GGGAAGGUGGCUCAGUGGUAGAGCUCUUGCCCUGCAUGCAUGAGGCCUUGGGUUCGAUUCCUCAGCAUCACA